GAUGAACGCUGGCGGCGUGCUUAACACAUGCAAGUCGAACGGAAAGGCGCUGCUCUUGUGGCGUGCUCGAGAGGCGCACGGGUGAGUAUCACGUGGGUAACCUGCCAUUAACUUUGGGAUAACGUUAGGAAACUGGGGCUAGUAUAGCAUAGGAGCUCCUGCUGCCUGGUGGGGGAUGGAGAGUGUCGGUGGUUGGGGAUGGGCUGGCGGCUUCUCAGCCUGUUGGUGGGGUCGUGGCUGACCAGGGCUUCGACGGGUAGCCGGCGGUAGCGGGGGACCGGCCGCAUUAGUACGACGGGACGGCCCAGACGACUACGGGAGGCAGCAGUGGUGAGUAUUUCACAAUGGGGGGAGGCCUGCUGAAGCAGCACCGCGGGCGGGAUGACGGCCUCCGAGGGGUAAACCGCUUUCUCCUGUAACGAAGCGGGAUUGACGGUAACUGGUAAAGAAGCACCGGCUAACUACGUG
Molecule: ribosomal RNA, 468 nt
Filed under: uncultured bacterium
Lineage: Bacteria
Description: partial 16S ribosomal RNA
Rfam family: Bacterial small subunit ribosomal RNA
Source: RNAcentral